This 104-nucleotide ribosomal RNA is filed under the name uncultured bacterium. RNAcentral describes it as "partial 16S ribosomal RNA". It matches the Rfam family "Bacterial small subunit ribosomal RNA", at positions 1379 to 1482 of the family's 1533-position model. The record is from RNAcentral.
CCUUGUACACACCGCCCGUCACACCAUGGGAGUCAGUUGCUCCAGAAACGGGCUGCCUAACCGCAAGGGGGGCGCUCUUUAAGGAGUGACUGGUAACUGGGGUG